CCUACGGGUGGCAGCAGUGGGGAAUAUUGGACAAUGGGGGGAACCCUGAUCCAGCCAUGCCGCGUGUGUGAAGAAGGCCCUCGGGUUGUAAAGCACUCUCAGUGAGGAAGAACGCCUGGUGGUUAAUACCCAUCAGGAAAGACAUCACUCACAGAAGAAGCACCGGCUAACUCCGUGCCAGCAGCCGCGGUAAUACGGAGGGUGCGAGCGUUAAUCGGAAUUACUGGGCGUAAAGCGCGCGUAGGUGGCUUGAUAAGCCGGUUGUGAAAGCCCCGGGCUCAACCUGGGAACGGCAUCCGGAACUGUCAAGCUAGAGUGCAGGAGAGGAAGGUAGAAUUCCCGGUGUAGCGGUGAAAUGCGUAGAGAUCGGGAGGAAUACCAGUGGCGAAGGCGGCCUUCUGGACUGACACUGACACUGAGGUGCGAAAGCGUGGGUAGCAAACAGGAUUAGAUACCCGGGUAGUC
This 465-nucleotide ribosomal RNA is filed under the name Vreelandella stevensii. RNAcentral's name for it is "partial 16S ribosomal RNA". It matches the Rfam family "Bacterial small subunit ribosomal RNA", at positions 338 to 795 of the family's 1533-position model. Lineage: Bacteria; Pseudomonadati; Pseudomonadota; Gammaproteobacteria; Oceanospirillales; Halomonadaceae. The record is from RNAcentral.